GGUUGUAGCUUAGUGCUAGAGCACUUGCCUAGCAUGUGUGAGGCCCUGGGUUCAAUCCUCAGCACCA
RNAcentral lists this transfer RNA (67 nucleotides) under Marmota monax (woodchuck). RNAcentral describes it as "tRNA.Ala". It matches the Rfam family "tRNA". Rfam says of the family: Transfer RNA (tRNA) molecules are approximately 80 nucleotides in length. Their secondary structure includes four short double-helical elements and three loops (D, anti-codon, and T loops). The record is from RNAcentral. Lineage: Eukaryota; Metazoa; Chordata; Mammalia; Rodentia; Sciuridae.